RNAcentral lists this ribosomal RNA (466 nucleotides) under uncultured bacterium. Its description in RNAcentral is "partial 16S ribosomal RNA". It matches the Rfam family "Bacterial small subunit ribosomal RNA", at positions 28 to 507 of the family's 1533-position model. The record is from RNAcentral.
GACGAACGCUGGCGGCGUGCUUAACACAUGCAAGUCGAACGGAAAGGCCCUUCCUUGCUGGGGUACUCGAGUGGCGAACGGGUGAGUAACACGUGGGUGAUCUGCCCUGCACUUUGGGAUAAGUCUGGGAAACUGGGUCUAAUACCGGAUAGGACGACGGUCUGGAUGGUAUUGGGGAAAGUUUUUGCGGUGUGGGAUGAGCUCGCGGCCUAUCAGCUUGUUGGUGGGGUAGUGGCCUACCAAGGCGUCGACGGGUAGCCGGCCUGAGAGGGUGUACGGCCACAUUGGGACUGAGAUACGGCCCAGACUCCUACGGGAGGCAGCAGUGGGGAAUAUUGCACAAUGGGCGGAAGCCUGAUGCAGCGACGCCGCGUGGGGGAUGACGGCCUUCGGGUUGUAAACUGCUUUCGCUGGGGACGAAGCGCGAGUGACGGUACCUGGAGAAGAAGCACCGGCUAACUACGUG